Molecule: non-coding RNA, 125 nt
Organism: Bacillus sp. 2_A_57_CT2
Lineage: Bacteria; Bacillati; Bacillota; Bacilli; Caryophanales; Bacillaceae
Source: Rfam
CACGAAGGAAAGCAGACUAAGAACGCCACGUCCUCCCAAAAGCUAACGCUUUCGGUCGUGCGAAGUAUCGCUUCCGUAGCUUUCCUUGUCCUGUGGCAACGUCUGCAUGACCUGCAUCCUGCGGG